GGACUGAGACCGGCCCAGACUCCUACGGGAGGCAGCAGUGGGGAAUAUUGCACAAUGGGCGAAAGCCUGAUGCAGCGACGCCGCGUGAGGGAUGACGGCCUUCGGGUUGUAAACCUCUUUUAUCCAGGACGAAGCCGAAGUGACGGUACCUGUAGAAGAAGCGCCGGCCUAAUACGUGCCAGCAGCCGCGGUAAUACGUAGGGUGCGAGCGUUGUCCGGAAUUAUUGGGCGUAAAAUGCUCCGUAGCGGCUUGUCACGUCGGCCGUUAAAACCUGGGGGUUAAGCCCGGGGCUUGC
Molecule: ribosomal RNA, 296 nt
Filed under: uncultured actinomycete
Lineage: Bacteria; Bacillati; Actinomycetota; Actinomycetes; Actinomycetales
Description: partial 16S ribosomal RNA
Rfam family: Bacterial small subunit ribosomal RNA
Source: RNAcentral